RNAcentral lists this ribosomal RNA (395 nucleotides) under uncultured bacterium. RNAcentral describes it as "partial 16S ribosomal RNA". It matches the Rfam family "Bacterial small subunit ribosomal RNA", at positions 523 to 918 of the family's 1533-position model. The record is from RNAcentral.
AUACGUAGGGUGCAAGCGUUAAUCGGAAUUACUGGGCGUAAAGCGUGCGCAGGCGGUUUUGUAAGACAGUGGUGAAAUCCCCGGGCUCAACCUGGGAACUGCCAUUGUGACUGCAAGGCUGGAGUGCGGCAGAGGGGGAUGGAAUUCCGCGUGUAGCAGUGAAAUGCGUAGAUAUGCGGAGGAACACCGAUGGCGAAGGCAAUCCCCUGGGCCUGCACUGACGCUCAUGCACGAAAGCGUGGGGAGCAAACAGGAUUAGAUACCCAGGUAGUCCACGCCCUAAACGAUGUCAACUGGUUGUUGGGGAUUUAUUUUCUCAGUAACGAAGCUAACGCGUGAAGUUGACCGCCUGGGGAGUACGGCCGCAAGGUUAAAACUCAAAUGAAUUGACGGGG